RNAcentral lists this transfer RNA (69 nucleotides) under Rattus norvegicus (Norway rat). It matches the Rfam family "tRNA". From Rfam's summary of the family: Transfer RNA (tRNA) molecules are approximately 80 nucleotides in length. Their secondary structure includes four short double-helical elements and three loops (D, anti-codon, and T loops). The record is from Rfam by way of RNAcentral. Lineage: Eukaryota; Metazoa; Chordata; Mammalia; Rodentia; Muridae.
GGGGAUUUAGCUCAGUGGUAGAGCGCUUGCCUAGCAAGCACAAGGCCCUGGGUUAGAUCCCCAGCUCCG